RNAcentral lists this ribosomal RNA (397 nucleotides) under Shackletoniella antarctica. RNAcentral's name for it is "bacterial SSU rRNA". It matches the Rfam family "Bacterial small subunit ribosomal RNA", at positions 400 to 824 of the family's 1533-position model. Lineage: Bacteria; Bacillati; Cyanobacteriota; Cyanophyceae; Oculatellales; Oculatellaceae. The record is from RNAcentral.
CGUGCGGGAGGAGGUCUUUGGAUUGUAAACCGCUUUUGAUAGGGAAGAAGAUCUGACGGUACCUAUCGAAUCAGCAUCGGCUAACUCCGUGCCAGCAGCCGCGGUAAUACGGGGGAUGCAAGCGUUAUCCGGAAUUAUUGGGCGUAAAGCGUCCGUAGGUGGUUUUAAAAGUCUGUUGUUAAAGCGCGAGGCUUAACCUCGUACAGGCAGUGGAAACUAUAAGACUAGAGUGCGGUAGGGGUAAAGGGAAUUUCCAGUGUAGCGGUGAAAUGCGUAGAUAUUGGAAAGAACACCGGUGGCGAAAGCGCUCUACUGGGCCUGCACUGACACUGAGGGACGAAAGCUAGGGGAGCGAAAGGGAUUAGAUACCCCCCGUAAACGAUGGAAACUAGGUGUU